UGGUGGGAGGCGCGAUGCUCGUGGGCGGAGCUCGCGGCUUGGAUCUUGGCCGGUUACCAUGGUCGUGCGGGCGGCGUGGUAGCUUGGGUAUGACGGUCGGUGGCGGUGGUUCUGCAGCGUGCUUGCGGCACUCCGUCUCGGAGGCGAAGAGGGCUUGCCGGGUGAAAACUCUUUCUGGCUUUGCCAGGUCGGCGGCGGCGGCGCCUACGGGCGUCUUAUCCUUCUUGAAGGCGUC
This 235-nucleotide ribosomal RNA is filed under the name Triticum aestivum (bread wheat). Its description in RNAcentral is "partial small subunit ribosomal RNA". Lineage: Eukaryota; Viridiplantae; Streptophyta; Magnoliopsida; Poales; Poaceae. The record is from RNAcentral.